This is a long non-coding RNA of Cyprinodon variegatus (sheepshead minnow), 436 nucleotides long. RefSeq lists it as uncharacterized. The record is from RefSeq and is a predicted model, not a curated record. NCBI's taxonomy places the organism in Eukaryota, Metazoa, Chordata, Actinopteri, Cyprinodontiformes, Cyprinodontidae. The transcript is spliced from 3 exons.
AAAGGAGUUUCUUACAGCUUUUAUUUCCUUUCUAAAUUUUGUUUAAUCCUAAUUUAGUCCUAAUCUAGUGAUCCAUUUUUCUCAUAACAGUAAGGAGAGGAUCAUAGAGAUGUCUGACUUCCUGUGUGUGUGUAACUGUGUAUGAACGAGACGGUGUCACAGCGUAGAAGCUGCCAAAUGUCAAAGCUGAACUCAUUGCUGUACUGAGAACAUCACAAACCAAUCACUGCUGUGGGAGGUACAUCGGUGCUUAAAAACAGGGCUCGUCAGAUAAAUACAAAGCAUUUCCGCCUGACUCUGGAUCACCGAGCACAUACCUGAGCUUGACACUUUAAAGGUGUGACACCACAAUGAAGAUCCUUCUGCAGUUCUUGGCCUUUCUCACCACCAUCCUCAAGACAUAUGGUAGGAAACACCCAUUACAGAUUCUUUUAAA